AACUAUUGUGUCCGUGCAAAGUGUACCUCAAAUUUGAUGCAAAUGAGCUCAAUCGAAAUGCUUUAUGGGGCGUAAAAAACCCAGGAAAUAUUUAAUACAUUCUGCUUUGUGGCCAUCUCUCAGUCAGUUUUUGAUCCGGUUAGCAGCAAGUCUUUGAGACUGAAGCGUCGAAAUACCCAACAACCUAGCAGAUUGAAUACAAAUUAAACUAUGAAGUCAUUGUCGCUAGUUCUCGUUCUUCUCCUGAUCCUGUUGGUCACAACUGAAGCUAGACACUAUGGUCAGUACGAUGACGAUGAACAAGAAAUGAUGUUGGAAUUGAAAGAUACUCCUGAGGAAUGUAAAGAUCUCAUUAAGCAAAAAAUCUGCUCCAAACCAGGAACGUGUAAAAACUUUCAUGCCUACUUCUGCAGGAAGACAUGUAAGCUGUGCUGAAGAUGUGUACCAAUGUGGAUUCUUCUUCCUUCGAUUGCCAUUUACAUAGGAUCUAAUAAUCAGAAUGAUACAUGCGCAUGUCUGUUACACUACUCAAAAUGUAUCCUUGAGUAUGAAUGAACAAAAUUCAUUAAACUGAUCGGUAUUGAAA
Actinia tenebrosa (Australian red waratah sea anemone) is the source of this 586-nucleotide long non-coding RNA. RefSeq lists it as uncharacterized. Lineage: Eukaryota; Metazoa; Cnidaria; Anthozoa; Actiniaria; Actiniidae. The record is from RefSeq and is a predicted model, not a curated record.